This is an RNA transcript of Amaranthus tricolor (Joseph's coat), 5073 nucleotides long. It is a transcript of the gene named cyclin-dependent kinase G-2-like, with no coding region annotated. Lineage: Eukaryota; Viridiplantae; Streptophyta; Magnoliopsida; Caryophyllales; Amaranthaceae. The transcript has 9 exons. The record is from RefSeq and is a predicted model, not a curated record.
UUCGCGAUAACAAUUCCUAUCCUCCCUUUUUUAUUUUGCCUUCUGUUUAUCGUAGCUUCGCCGCCUUUCUUUUUCCCUCUGACCCGCUGCAUUGAUCAUCAAUCAGUUAUCAUCAUCUUCUCCUCCCGCUCUUCCACUCUGAUUCUCUCCUUCAAUUUCGAAUUUUUAGGGCUUUUAUUGAAUUUUAGUUUGUAGGGUUUUUCUUUCUAUACCUCGAUUAAGUCCCCUAACUUUUUCAAUAAUUUGAAUUAUUUGCUUGCCCACCGGAUUUUCAAGCAUCAAAGAUUCAGAGGCACCAAAUUCGCCUCGCCUGCGAAAGGUCCGAUUUAUCUAUUGAUUUUUUGCUGUUUCAUUUUCAUAUUGUGUGUUUUGUUCUCGUUUUCGUUACCAUUAUUUGUUCUCUCAGAUCUUUAUGAGUGCAAGUUGUUGAAGUUUUGAUUUUAGGGUUUUUGUUUUAGGAAACUUUCAUUUGCAUGUAUUGAAUUGACUAUAUUUGGAAUAAAAUUAGGGUUUUCAUUAGUUGUAAUUGAUAUUGAUUUUUCAAGUUGGGGGAUACCUUUGCCUGAUUAUAUGGCGGCGGGAAGGCAUGGGGGAUACCACGAAAAUGAAAAUAAAGAACGUGGCCAAGAUUAUAAUAUGUCCAGGCGUGAUUCAGUGUAUACCAAUGGAGAAUAUGAUAGGAUUAGGAACGUGGAUCAGAUUAGGGAUCGGGAUAUUGUGAAAAUUAGAGAUAGAGCUAGGAUUAGACAGAGGGAUAUCAAGGAAAGGGAGCUAGCUAACGGUGGUUAUGGCUCGUCUUCAAGUAGAAGUGAUUCAGGUGGAAGUGGGGGAGGUGGUGGUGGUGAAGGGGGAGGCAAAGGUGGGUCCAGGAGAGUUGGCUGUACGUCCAGGGUGGAUCGUGAGCCCGGGGAAUUGUCUAGCGAGGAUGGGUCUGAGGGUGCUAUAGAGUUAGAUUCACGGUCGGGAAAGGAUAGUGAAUUGUUGGAGAUGGAUAACUGCGCUCAGUCCACUCCCCGAGGCUUGAAGAAGAGGAAGUAUUCUCCCAUAGUAUGGGAUAGAGAUGAUAAAGAUAUAAAAGAUGCAUUGAAAAGUAAAGUUGGGGUGAGUAAUACAGCGCUACCUCCUCAACCAAUCAAGAAAUUGUAUCGGCAGUCCUCACCUGUCACAAUUCCUGCAGAAAAUGAGGUGGCAUCUUUUUUCAAAAGUGACAAACCCCCAGAAGAAACGGAAAUAUCUCCUGUUAACCCUUUGAAUCGUGAUCAGUUAGACAAUGUUGUCUCGGGGUCAAUUGAGGAACAUGAUUAUUCAACGUCUCAGGAGCGACAGUGGGAGAAUGGUAAGGAGAUAGAGCACAUAGAUGAUGAGGAUUAUAUCCCUACUAGGCACAUUUUAUCAUCAAGGUGGGCUGGUGAUUCUAACUCUCCUGCUGAUGAAGGUGAAAUAGAUAAUGAUGAGUUCAUGAGGAAAAGGAGAAAGAAGAUGCAUUCUUUUGCGUUCUUAGAUACUAGAAGGAGCAAGAAGUCAUCUAGUCCAGAACGUGGAGAUGCCACUAGAGAGGUUUCUAAUUUAGUUAAGGGAAGAUCUUUAAAUUCUGAUGGAAGCAUGUGUAGUACUCCUGCCAAUGGAAAUCAUGUUCUUCAUAUUGAUCAGGAUAAGGAGUAUCAUAUGGAGGUAGAUGAUAGAUACGAUGACACUGAUUCUAGCCUUAGCCCCAGAAGAUCUGAUUUAGAAGAUGAAGAUUAUUUUCGUGGAACACCUGAACCGCAAGCAGCUCCCAAGAGAGUAGUGAAUAUGCUUCAGGGUUGUAGAAGUGUGGAUGAGUUUGAAAGACUAAAUAAGAUAGAUGAAGGAACUUAUGGUGUAGUUUACAGAGCCAGAGAUAAGAAGACAAAUGACAUUGUAGCUUUGAAAAAGGUAAAGAUGGAAAAGGAAAGAGAGGGCUUUCCAUUGACUGCUUUAAGGGAAAUUAACAUUCUUUUAUCAUUGCAUCAUCCAUCCAUUGUUGAUGUCAAGGAAGUAGUUGUUGGAAGCAACCUUGAUAGUAUCUUUAUGGUGAUGGAAUACAUGGAGCACGAUCUUAAAGCUCUCAUGGAGACCAUGAAGCAGCCAUUUAGUCAGAGUGAAGUUAAAUGCCUCAUGCUUCAGUUAUUAGAUGGUGUCAAGUGCCUUCAUGAUAAUUGGGUUCUUCAUCGUGAUUUAAAGACGUCAAAUUUACUUAUGAACAACCAGGGGGAGCUGAAGAUAUGCGACUUUGGUUUGGCUCGACAAUAUGGGAGUCCUUUGAAGCCAUACACUCAAUUGGUUGUUACACUGUGGUACAGAGCUCCUGAGCUUCUUUUGGGGGCAAAAGAGUAUUCCACUGCCAUUGAUAUGUGGUCACUUGGUUGCAUCAUGGCGGAGCUCUUGUCCAAAGAUCCACUGUUUAAUGGCAAAUCCGAAAUUGAACAGCUUGAUAAGAUAUUCAGGAUUCUUGGCACUCCAAAUGAAACAAUCUGGCCUGGUUUUUCUAAGUUGCCUAAAGUGAAGUAUAAUUUUGUGAAACACCAGUAUAAUCAGUUGCGUAAAAAGUUUCCAGCAACAUCCUUUACGGGAUCCCCGGUCCUCUCAGAUGCUGGAUUUGAUCUAUUGAACAGACUAUUAACUUAUGAUCCUGAAAAGCGUUAUACAGUUGAUGCUGCUCUUAAGCAUGAUUGGUUUCGUGAAGUUCCUCUUCCCAAGUCAAAGGAAUUCAUGCCUACAUUUCCUGCUCAUCAUGCACAAGACAGGCGCUUGCGUAGGGUUCAUAAGAGCCCUGAUCCUUUGGAAGAGCAGCGCAGGAAAGAGUUGCAGCAACCAGAAUUGGGGACUGGAGGCUUGUUUGGCUAAGAGCCUAUGUCUGAGUGAAGAUUGUGUUUUAUGCUGCACGAGUUUUGUCAAUGCCAACAGAUGAACAUGCAUGAGGUUAGAGAGAUGGAUUCAAAACAACUUGCAAACAAUGGGUUGUGAGACCGUCAUUCAUGCUGUUUUUUAGCAGGCACAUCUGAUGAAGUUAGUUGAGGAUUAUAUUUUUGCCUAUGCCAUCAGAUCUGUAGCAGUCAAAUUUAUUUUCCAGCUUUGGUGAUAGGAUUGCAUCAUAACAGUACUUGAUUCAGAAGAAGAUGCCAUUUUUGUUUUCCAAUUCAAAGACUGUUUCAAUUCUUUGUCUUGUACUUCACGGAAAUGUUAUUGAAAGUUCCUGAUCAGCCAUGUACUAAAGCUAGCAGCUUGAGGAGGCUGAUUUUUCAGUUUUAAUGGUUCUCAAAAUCUGUUGCUUGAGCUUGGUAGAGAGGCUUAAUUGAACAGAUGAGUGAAAAAUCCUACUUCAUAUCAGAAGCAGAUAGUUGAGUUCUUAUUGGCAUUAGCAAAGGAAAAAGAUUUCCAUUGUAGGGAUAUCAACUAUUCAUUUUUGUUGAAGCUUAAUUUUCUUAGAAUAAAAGUUCCAUUCUCACAGUGUUGCUUGUUAAGCAGGAUAACUUGCACCCGGGUGCCCUGAACAGGUACGUGCAUCCAAGUAUAAGUUUAGUUGAUUUAUCAUUUUAUACAAAGAUGUUGAUCAGAAUGACCAUGAUUUCUGACCCAUUGGAAUGCUUUUUCCUUGGAAGGUAAGUACCAAGCUGAGCUUUUUCUGUCAUGAAUACUAAUUCUGUGCAUUACCCUCUCUUUAAAAAGAGAAAGACCACAUUUUGUGAUUGAAUAUAUGUCGUGUGAUGCAUCUCUGCCAUCCGAGCUCGUUUAAACUUCUCCUUUCAUAGGCUCGUGUAGAAUAAUACGUAGUUACCUUUCCUUUCAAAGAGAGGGUAAUGCACAGAAUCUGUGUUCAUUACAGUAUAAGCUCAGCAUUAAUUGUGGACAUGUUAUAACAAAAUCUCUGCCAUCCGAGAUUUUAUCUUUUGUUUAAACAAUAUCUUGUUCAUUGCACAAAGAAAAUGAGAUGAGAAGUUACCUCUCCUUUUAAAUAAAAUAUUAAGCAGGAGAAAUAACUCGUCGUUAUCUCUGCCAUCCGAGCUCGCUUAUGUAAUUGCCUUGGCGUAGUUUAAGAGGAAUAUGGAUCAUAUGUUGUAACAAAUUCAGCAUUAACCAACCAUAAUAUACAAAGAUAUUGUUGUUAAUGUACAAGUUGGUAAAAUGGGCACAUUAUUCAUUGAUUAAUUCUUUACAAUGAUUUUCAACAUAUGUCCUAUUCUUUAUAGCUAUCAUUUGUUGUUUGGUGAUAUUUCAACCAUUUUUCUACUAUUCUUGUCGUGAAUAAUUUGUUGUUAAGUUUUCCACUAUUACAAAUUACAAAUUACAAAUAUGAAUAACAUUGGAUUCAUUUGCAAGUCACGAACAAUGGAUCAGUGUAAGGUGACAAACAUAAAGUUAGUAUUGAAUCCCAUACAAUCUGCAACAAAAUUUCUCAAUAAGCUUUCAUAUGGAGAACUUUAAUAUUGUUAGCUCUAUGGAAUCCCAUACAAUUCUAUUUUAUAUGCUAUUUCUCUCAUGUCUUCUUAUGGAUGAAAGAAAAUGGGAAAAUAUUUGGAGGGAUCAGAUCAAAAAUAUUUGUUUAGGUUUCAAUCUCUCCAAAGUUAAAAAAAUAUUUGGAGUAAAGCUUUAAUUUCAACUCUCUGAAUACAUUCUUAACACUUUGCAAUAUUGUGCAAUUCAAGCUGUCUUGCAUAUUAUAUAUUUAUAGGGUAUUGUAGAGAGCUUCAAAUUUGGAAUUUUAAAAACAAAUUCAUAAUUUUUUAUAUAUAUAAUACCUAGUUUAAAUUUUAACAACAAAUCAUGAAGUAACAAUAAAUGUUCUAAAAUAUUUGUUACUAAAAAUCUUUUCAACAAGGACAUCCUCAAUUUAAAAUAUAUAUAUGAUGUAAGUAUUUAAGGCUCUUUAAUUGAAGAUUCUUAGUGUGAAGCAACUGUUUACUUUACACAUGUCUAUUGUGCAAUUAAAGUCAUCUUGAAUAUUAUGUAUUUAUGUGGUGAUGUGAAGGACUUAUAAUAUAGAUCAGAUGAAAUUUUAAAAAUAAAUUCAUGAUUUAAUAUCUUUCAUGCCUAAUUUGAAUUUUAACAAUAAAU